CGUGGUAUCCUGUCUGAAUAUGGGGGGACCAUCCUCCAAGGCUAAAUACUCCUGACUGACCGAUAGUGAACCAGUACCGUGAGGGAAAGGCGAAAAGAACCCCGGCGAGGGGAGUGAAAAAGAACCUGAAACCGUGUACGUACAAGCAGUGGGAGCACGCUUAGGCGUGUGACUGCGUACCUUUUGUAUAAUGGGUCAGCGACUUAUAUUCUGUAGCAAGGUUAACCGAAUAGGGGAGCCGAAGGGAAACCGAGUCUUAACUGGGCGUUAAGUUGCAGGGUAUAGACCCGAAACCCGGUGAUCUAGCCAUGGGCAGGUUGAAGGUUGGGUAACACUAACUGGAGGACCGAACCGACUAAUGUUGAAAAAUUAGCGGAUGACUUGUGGCUGGGGGUGAAAGGCCAAUCAAACCGGGAGAUAGCUGGUUCUCCCCGAAAGCUAUUUAGGUAGCGCCUCGUGAAUUCAUCUCCGGGGGUAGAGCACUGUUUCGGCAAGGGGGUCAUCCCGACUUACCAACCCGAUGCAAACUGCGAAUACCGGAGAAUGUUAUCACGGGAGACACACGGCGGGUGCUAACGUCCGUCGUGAAGAGGGAAACAACCCAGACCGCCAGCUAAGGUCCCAAAGUCAUGGUUAAGUGGGAAACGAUGUGGGAAGGCCCAGACAGCCAGGAUGUUGGCUUAGAAGCAGCCAUCAUUUAAAGAAAGCGUAAUAGCUCACUGGUCGAGUCGGCCUGCGCGGAAGAUGUAACGGGGCUAAACCAUGCACCGAAGCUGCGGCAGCGACACUAUGUGUUGUUGGGUAGGGGAGCGUUCUGUAAGCCUGUGAAGGUGUACUGUGAGGUAUGCUGGAGGUAUCAGAAGUGCGAAUGCUGACAUAAGUAACGAUAAAGCGGGUGAAAAGCCCGCUCGCCGGAAGACCAAGGGUUCCUGUCCAACGUUAAUCGGGGCAGGGUGAGUCGACCCCUAAGGCGAGGCCGAAAGGCGUAGUCGAUGGGAAACAGGUUAAUAUUCCUGUACUUGGUGUUACUGCGAAGGGGGGACGGAGAAGGCUAUGUUGGCCGGGCGACGGUUGUCCCGGUUUAAGCGUGUAGGCUGGUUUUCCAGGCAAAUCCGGAAAACUAAGGCUGAGGCGUGAUGACGAGGCACUACGGUGCUGAAGCAACAAAUGCCCUGCUUCCAGGAAAAGCCUCUAAGCAUCAGGUAACAUCAAAUCGUACCCCAAACCGACACAGGUGGUCAGGUAGAGAAUACCAAGGCGCUUGAGAGAACUCGGGUGAAGGAACUAGGCAAAAUGGUGCCGUAACUUCGGGAGAAGGCACGCUGAUAUGUAGGUGAAGUCCCUCGCGGAUGGAGCUGAAAUCAGUCGAAGAUACCAGCUGGCUGCAACUGUUUAUUAAAAACACAGCACUGUGCAAACACGAAAGUGGACGUAUACGGUGUGACGCCUGCCCGGUGCCGGAAGGUUAAUUGAUGGGGUCAGCGCAAGCGAAGCUCUUGAUCGAAGCCCCGGUAAACGGCGGCCGUAACUAUAACGGUCCUAAGGUAGCGAAAUUCCUUGUCGGGUAAGUUCCGACCUGCACGAAUGGCGUAAUGAUGGCCAGGCUGUCUCCACCCGAGACUCAGUGAAAUUGAACUCGCUGUGAAGAUGCAGUGUACCCGCGGCAAGACGGAAAGACCCCGUGAACCUUUACUAUAGCUUGACACUGAACAUUGAGCCUUGAUGUGUAGGAUAGGUGGGAGGCUUUGAAGUGUGGACGCCAGUCUGCAUGGAGCCGACCUUGAAAUACCACCCUUUAAUGUUUGAUGUUCUAACGUUGACCCGUAAUCCGGGUUGCGGACAGUGUCUGGUGGGUAGUUUGACUGGGGCGGUCUCCUCCUAAAGAGUAACGGAGGAGCACGAAGGUUGGCUAAUCCUGGUCGGACAUCAGGAGGUUAGUGCAAUGGCAUAAGCCAGCUUGACUGCGAGCGUGACGGCGCGAGCAGGUGCGAAAGCAGGUCAUAGUGAUCCGGUGGUUCUGAAUGGAAGGGCCAUCGCUCAACGGAUAAAAGGUACUCCGGGGAUAACAGGCUGAUACCGCCCAAGAGUUCAUAUCGACGGCGGUGUUUGGCACCUCGAUGUCGGCUCAUCACAUCCUGGGGCUGAAGUAGGUCCCAAGGGUAUGGCUGUUCGCCAUUUAAAGUGGUACGCGAGCUGGGUUUAGAACGUCGUGAGACAGUUCGGUCCCUAUCUGCCGUGGGCGCUGGAGAACUGAGGGGGGCUGCUCCUAGUACGAGAGGACCGGAGUGGACGCAUCACUGGUGUUCGGGUUGUCAUGCCAAUGGCACUGCCCGGUAGCUAAAUGCGGAAGAGAUAAGUGCUGAAAGCAUCUAAGCACGAAACUUGCCCCGAGAUGAGUUCUCCCUGACUCCUUGAGAGUCCUGAAGGAACGUUGAAGACGACGACGUUGAUAGGCCGGGUGUGUAAGCGCAGCGAUGCGUUGAGCUAACCGGUACUAAUGAACCGUGAGGCUUAACCUUACAACGCCGAAGGUGUUU
This 2537-nucleotide ribosomal RNA is filed under the name Shigella boydii. RNAcentral's name for it is "partial 23S ribosomal RNA". It matches the Rfam family "Bacterial large subunit ribosomal RNA", at positions 425 to 2925 of the family's 2925-position model. The record is from RNAcentral. Lineage: Bacteria; Pseudomonadati; Pseudomonadota; Gammaproteobacteria; Enterobacterales; Enterobacteriaceae.